Molecule: ribosomal RNA, 496 nt
Filed under: uncultured Hydrogenophaga sp.
Lineage: Bacteria; Pseudomonadati; Pseudomonadota; Betaproteobacteria; Burkholderiales; Comamonadaceae
Description: bacterial SSU rRNA
Rfam family: Bacterial small subunit ribosomal RNA
Source: RNAcentral
AGGCUUUGAUCCUGGCUCAGAUUGAACGCUGGCGGCAUGCUUUACACAUGCAAGUCGAACGGUAACAGGUCUUCGGAUGCUGACGAGUGGCGAACGGGUGAGUAAUGCAUCGGAACGUGCCCAGUCGUGGGGGAUAACGCAGCGAAAGCUGUGCUAAUACCGCAUACGAUCUGCGGAUGAAAGCGGGGGACCUUCGGGCCUCGCGCGAUUGGAGCGGCCGAUGUCAGAUUAGGUAGUUGGUGGGGUAAAGGCUCACCAAGCCAACGAUCUGUAGCUGGUCUGAGAGGACGACCAGCCACACUGGGACUGAGACACGGCCCAGACUCCUACGGGAGGCAGCAGUGGGGAAUUUUGGACAAUGGGCGCAAGCCUGAUCCAGCAAUGCCGCGUGCAGGAAGAAGGCCUUCGGGUUGUAAACUGCUUUUGUACGGAACGAAAAGCUCUGGGUUAAUACCCUGGGGUCAUGACGGUACCGUAAGAAUAAGCACCGGCGUAA